GAUGAACGCUGGCGGCGUGCUUAACACAUGCAAGUCGAACGAUGAAGCCCAGCUUGCUGGGUGGAUUAGUGGCGAACGGGUGAGUAACACGUGAGUAACCUGCCCUUAACUCUGGGAUAAGCCUGGGAAACUGGGUCUAAUACCGGAUAGGAGCGUCCACCGCAUGGUGGGUGUUGGAAAGAUUUAUCGGUUUUGGAUGGACUCGCGGCCUAUCAGCUUGUUGGUGAGGUAAUGGCUCACCAAGGCGACGAUGGGUAGCCGGCCUGGAAGGGUGACCGGCCACCUGGGAGCGGAGCCACGGUCAAGACUACUGCGGGAGGCAGCAGACGGGAAUGUGAGGCAAUAGGCGAAAGUCUGACACAGCGAGGUCGAGUGUGUUGAGAAGGUCUUGGGAGAGGAAUGCACGCUUAGUGGUGAUGAACCUCUGUCAGUAGAGAAGUAGCGGUAGUGACGGUACCUAGAGAAGAAGCACCGGCUAACUACGUG
RNAcentral lists this ribosomal RNA (486 nucleotides) under uncultured bacterium. Its description in RNAcentral is "partial 16S ribosomal RNA". It matches the Rfam family "Bacterial small subunit ribosomal RNA", at positions 28 to 507 of the family's 1533-position model. The record is from RNAcentral.